This 305-nucleotide ribosomal RNA is filed under the name uncultured bacterium. Its description in RNAcentral is "partial 16S ribosomal RNA". It matches the Rfam family "Bacterial small subunit ribosomal RNA", at positions 505 to 807 of the family's 1533-position model. The record is from RNAcentral.
ACAGCAGCAGCCGCGGUAAUACGAAGGGUGCAAGCGUUACUCGGAAUUACUGGGCGUAAAGGGUGCGUAGGUGGUCUUUUAAGUCCGUUGUGAAAUCCCUGGGCUCAACCUGGGAAUGGCAGUGGAUACUGGAAGGCUAGAGUGCGGUAGAGGGUAGUGGAAUUCCCGGUGUAGCAGUGAAAUGCGUAGAGAUCGGGAGGAACACCAGUGGCGAAGGCGGCUACCUGGACCAGCACUGACACUGAAGCACGAAAGCGUGGGGAGCAAACAGGAUUAGAUACCCCAGUAGUCCCUGUCUCUUAUAC